RNAcentral lists this ribosomal RNA (689 nucleotides) under Klebsiella pneumoniae. RNAcentral's name for it is "bacterial SSU rRNA". It matches the Rfam family "Bacterial small subunit ribosomal RNA", at positions 818 to 1507 of the family's 1533-position model. The record is from RNAcentral. Lineage: Bacteria; Pseudomonadati; Pseudomonadota; Gammaproteobacteria; Enterobacterales; Enterobacteriaceae.
UAAAGGUUGUGCCCUUGAGGCGUGGCUUCCGGAGCUAACGCGUUAAAUCGACCGCCUGGGGAGUACGGCCGCAAGGUUAAAACUCAAAUGAAUUGACGGGGGCCCGCACAAGCGGUGGAGCAUGUGGUUUAAUUCGAUGCAACGCGAAGAACCUUACCUGGUCUUGACAUCCACAGAACUUUCCAGAGAUGGAUUGGUGCCUUCGGGAACUGUGAGACAGGUGCUGCAUGGCUGUCGUCAGCUCGUGUUGUGAAAUGUUGGGUUAAGUCCCGCAACGAGCGCAACCCUUAUCCUUUGUUGCCAGCGGUUAGGCCGGGAACUCAAAGGAGACUGCCAGUGAUAAACUGGAGGAAGGUGGGGAUGACGUCAAGUCAUCAUGGCCCUUACGACCAGGGCUACACACGUGCUACAAUGGCAUAUACAAAGAGAAGCGACCUCGCGAGAGCAAGCGGACCUCAUAAAGUAUGUCGUAGUCCGGAUUGGAGUCUGCAACUCGACUCCAUGAAGUCGGAAUCGCUAGUAAUCGUAGAUCAGAAUGCUACGGUGAAUACGUUCCCGGGCCUUGUACACACCGCCCGUCACACCAUGGGAGUGGGUUGCAAAAGAAGUAGGUAGCUUAACCUUCGGGAGGGCGCUUACCACUUUGUGAUUCAUGACUGGGGUGAAGUCGUAACAAGGUAACCGUAACG